GCAAAGUCUGGGCCACACCCGUCUACUGCAUCAGAAACUCUGGAAUCUGGGUCUUAACAAACCCUCCAAGUGAUCCUGAUGCCAGCUCAAGUUUGACCCCAGAUUAGAGGGACACAAUGAGAAGGCUGGCACUCCAGGGUGGGACCUUCCCCGGGUCCCCCAAAGCAUCAGUCAAGUCUACCCAGGUGAUGAAUUUGCUUCGUGCAAGGGUUUAGGAGCAUGGAGUCCAAUCCUCCCGGCUCUAAGCAGGACCCAGCCAGCCUGCUCUACCCAGAGCCUUCCUUAGCUACUCCCAGCCACGCAAUGUCAAUCACAACCUCCUGCCUCUCCGGCAGGCCAGGCUCCAGGUGACAAAGGGACAGCUUAAGCUAGCGGUUGGCAAACAUUUUCUGUAAAGGCCCAGAGAGUCAAUCUCUUCAGGUCAUACAGUCUCUGCUGCAACGAGCCGACGUCGCGUGAAAGCAGCCAGACAGCGUGUGAGUGAACGCGAGAGGCCGUGUUCC
This 503-nucleotide long non-coding RNA is filed under the name Equus asinus (donkey). Its description in RNAcentral is "lncRNA (ENSEASG00005034672.1)". Lineage: Eukaryota; Metazoa; Chordata; Mammalia; Perissodactyla; Equidae. The record is from RNAcentral.